CGAUGCAUAGCCGACCUGAGCCAUGAUCAAACUCUACUGGGACUGAGACACGGCCCAGACUCCUACGGGAGGCAGCAGUAGGGAAUCUUCGGCAAUGGACGAAAGUCUGACCGAGCAACGCCGCGUGAGUGAAGAAGGUUUUCGGAUCGUAAAACUCUGUUGUUAGAGAAGAACAAGGACGUUAGUAACUGAACGUCCCCUGACGGUAUCUAACCAGAAAGCCACGGCUAACUACGUGCCAGCAGCCGCGGUAAUACGUAGGUGGCAAGCGUUGUCCGGAUUUAUUGGGCGUAAAAGCGAGCGCAGGCGGUUUCUUAAGUCUGAUGUGAAAGCCCCCGGCUCAACCGGGGAGGGUCAUUGGAAACUGGGAGACUUGAGUGCAGGAAGAGGAGAGUGGAAUUCCAUGUGUAGCGGUGAAAAUGCGUUAGAUAUA
RNAcentral lists this ribosomal RNA (433 nucleotides) under Enterococcus sp. Its description in RNAcentral is "bacterial SSU rRNA". It matches the Rfam family "Bacterial small subunit ribosomal RNA", at positions 277 to 698 of the family's 1533-position model. Lineage: Bacteria; Bacillati; Bacillota; Bacilli; Lactobacillales; Enterococcaceae. The record is from RNAcentral.